AUUGAACGCUGGCGGCAGGCCUAACACAUGCCAGUCGAGCGGAUGAAGGGAGCUUGCUCCUGGCUUCAGCGGCGGACGGGUGUGUAAUGCCUAGGAAUCUGCCUGGUAGUGGGGGAUAACGUCCGGAAACGGGCGCUAAUACCGCAUACGUCCUGAGGGAGAAAGUGGGGGAUCUUCGGACCUCACGCUAUCAGAUGAGCCUAGGUCGGAUUAGCUAGUUGGUGGGGUAAAGGCCUACCAAGGCGACGAUCCGUAACUGGUCUGAGAGGAUGAUCAGUCACACUGGAACUGAGACACGGUCCAGACUCCUACGGGAGGCAGCAGUGGGGAAUAUUGGACAAUGGGCGAAAGCCUGAUCCAGCCAUGCCGCGUGUGUGAAGAAGGUCUUCGGAUUGUAAAGCACUUUAAGUUGGGAGGAAGGGCAGUAAGUUAAUACCUUGCUGUUUUGACGGUACCAACAGAAUAAGCACCGGCUAACUUCGUG
RNAcentral lists this ribosomal RNA (484 nucleotides) under uncultured bacterium. Its description in RNAcentral is "partial 16S ribosomal RNA". It matches the Rfam family "Bacterial small subunit ribosomal RNA", at positions 30 to 507 of the family's 1533-position model. The record is from RNAcentral.